CCUAGACAAGCAGCCUCCUGAGCCAAUGUAGGUAUGUCAAUGUGAUCCUUUGGCCUGUCUUGCUGCUCUAAAGUACUAAUCUGAUUAGAUAGUCUGGCCACCUCACUCAAAUUUUGAAGCUAUGUUUGAACCAGUGAAGCGAUCUAGUGUGCUUGAUAUACCUUAGUCUACUCUCGCGCUAUCCUCAGUCCAUCCAACACAAGCUCUUCAAUCCUCCCCAUUUGAUAAUCGUCUAACCAUGUGA
RNAcentral lists this long non-coding RNA (244 nucleotides) under Elaeis guineensis (African oil palm). Its description in RNAcentral is "long non-coding RNA (EGUI_LNC055523)". Lineage: Eukaryota; Viridiplantae; Streptophyta; Magnoliopsida; Arecales; Arecaceae. The record is from RNAcentral.